RNAcentral lists this long non-coding RNA (2471 nucleotides) under Gadus morhua (Atlantic cod). RNAcentral's name for it is "lncRNA (ENSGMOG00000034920.1)". The record is from RNAcentral. Lineage: Eukaryota; Metazoa; Chordata; Actinopteri; Gadiformes; Gadidae.
GUUUUUGCACUUGUAAACAGUUAAUGGGGUUUGUAGCCUACAUUCAGACGCAGUCUACUCAUUCUUGCGUGCGAGUGGCUUAAAUAAAAUUAAAACAUUCCGAGUAUGCAAAUUAUUCUAAAGAUGUCUACGUGCGUAGCCCCGCCUGCUCCAAUGAACAAGAAAGCCGGCUCUUUGAAGGCUUUACACAGGCAGGACAGUGAAACUAACAUCUGCCAAGCAGCGACCGUACCUGCUUGGCAGUGUAAAAAUGCUUAGGGUUAGGGUUAGGUUCUCUGACAAAUGAAUCCUGUUUCUCUACAGAAGGAUCACAGCAACCAGAGCACCUACCGUCUGUCGGGGAUGGUCUCUCACCUCGGGGAGAGCAUCAACACCGGUAACUAAAGCUUUUAUAGUAAAGAAUGUACAUCUGUACCUGACACACGCGUCAGACACUAGACCCGUCCCACGCUGGGGGACAGUAAGGUAAUGGAUGUCUUGUGUCCCCCAGGCCACUACGUCAGUGACGUAGCUCGAGAGGACGGCGCCGGAUGGUUGACCCUCAACGACGCCCGUGUGACGCCCGCGGAGACGCCGGUCCUGAGGACCAGAGAGAAGACCGCCUACAUGUUGUUUUACGUCCUAAGUGGAGCAGAAGAGGGAAGCCAUGUCCCACUGGCUCAGAACCAGGAGCCAUCUGGAGCUGAGAGGGACUGACACCUGUGAGGCCCAGGAGAGCGCUUGAUUGGUGGCAGAGUUCCCGUUGUCCGGUAAUUACCGGUCUUUGACCGGAAAAAAAUGAGGAGGACCGAAAAUCCUAAAUGUCUCCGGUCAGAAUGACCGAUUGGAAAUAAGGCCCCGUCCACACGGAGCCGAAACGGGCGAAAACGAUCCGGUUUCGUUUUAUGCUUAAUGUUCAAGGUGCUGGUUCUCCACAGAAAAAAGUGGAGCGCAUCAACCCUGCGCUCAUACAGCAUGGGCGCUGUAUACAAACAUUCAGUCACGAGGAGAUUCAACCAUUGAGCAGAACAAAAUUGAGCAGGUCCUAUGUUCCCGGUUUUCCCCAAAAAGGGUCCUAUGUUCCCCUGUAGCCAUACAUACCGGGGAACAUAGGACCCUUUUCCCAGAAAAGGGUCCUAUGUUCCCCGCAAUCUAUCAAUCUUUAAAAAUAUUUAAACUUUGACGCGGCAUUCGCGUAAUGACAGCCAAUCGUCGUUCAACAGAGUGACAUGUCUAACGUAACAGCCAAUCAGCGUUCAACCGGCCAACUCAGUGCAGUGCAGUCCGGGGUGAACUGCAGCAAGGAGGAGAAAGUGAUUGUUGCCGUUUGCGACUCCCGGAGCUCUUUAUAUAAUAGUAUAUAAUAUAAUUGUAUAAUAAUAUCACGGCCAAAAGCUCUGUGCGCCUCCGGAUGGCCGUAACGCGGGAAGCUCUCGUGGGGAUUGGGCUUCUCGGGGUUUGUUUACCGGCGUAUGAAUAUACUGCGUCAGGUUCUCCGACGUCUCUCCCUCUUCCACAAAAGGUAAAGACAUGCAAUGGUAGUUAUCUCGGCCGGAAUUUGGCAGUAAUGGUGGAAAAAGUAACAGACCGGGGAACAUAGAACCCCUUUUUAAAAAAAGGGUCCUAUGUUCCCCGGUCACAUACAUAUCGGGGAACAUAGGACCCUUUUUUGGGAAAAGCAGGGAACAUAGGACCCUUUUUGAAAAAAAGGGUCCUAUGUUCCCCAGUCUCAUACAAAGAGGGGAACAUAGGACUCGGGGAACAUAGACACGCUCCCCUAUAGACUACCGUAGGUUUAUGAACUAAACGGCGGCAAGCUAGCAAAAGCCGGCGGCAAGCUUUGCGGAGUACCGGUAUUUAACAACAAUGGCGAAUCAAAAUAUGAUCACACACUUCUUCUUUAUAUAGCCUGCCUAUCAUUUUUUUUAAGUGCAAUAAACACGGACAAUAUCCGACCGUUUUUUUCCCAAUUUGACCGGUAAAAUUAAACCUUCCCGGUCACAUGACCGGCACCAAUUUCUUCUAGCGGAAACACUGAUUGGUGGUGCCUCUACAGCCCGCUCUGGGGGCCACACCCUGCAGCCCCCCUCUACAGCUGAGGCCCACCUUUAAACGCCCCCCUAGGGGCCACACCCUGAAGCCCCCCUCUACAUCCCCCCCUAGGGGCCACACCCUGAAGCCCCCCUCUACAUCCCCCCUAGGGGCCACACCCUGAAGCCCCCCUCUACAUCCCCCCUAGGGGCCACACCCUGAUGCCCCCCUCUAGGGGACCUGAGGCCCCUCUCUACACCCCCCUCUGGGGGCCACACCCUGCGUCCCCCUUCUACAGCCCCCUCUAGGGGCUAACCAACCCCCUCUACACCCCCCUCUCGGGGCCCUGCGGCCCACCUCUUUGGACUUUAAGGCUGAUCAUAAUGAGGAUCACUUUAUUUUUAUUUUGUAUCAUAAUAAUGAGGAGCAUAUUCAUAUUAUGUAUAAUAAUAAUGCUGAGG